Molecule: long non-coding RNA, 474 nt
Organism: Girardinichthys multiradiatus
Lineage: Eukaryota; Metazoa; Chordata; Actinopteri; Cyprinodontiformes; Goodeidae
Exons: 3
Source: RefSeq, a predicted model, not a curated record
GUUGUUACUGCAGACUCUGAAAUAUUCAGCUCACACAGCAAAAACCGACGAUAAACAGAAGAAAACCUGGAAGCUAACGAUGCUAGCGCCUUGUUGUUUACUUCCGCCGGAAGUCUCACACGCGGUACUUCCAUCUGUCCAGGAUCCAGUUUGAGGACCUGCUGUCCCUCGUGGGGAUGAAUCAGCCUUCAGGACACCAACUACAGGCGCUGUCUCCCCGCUGCAGAACACCUUUUCAUCUGUCUUUGUUGGAACACACCCUCCGGUCACCCUUCUUAUGAAGGGGGACCACCACCCCAGUCUGCCAAUCCAAAGGCACUGUCCCCGUCCGCCAUGCAAUGUUGAAGAAGCGUGUUAACCAUGACAGGCCCACAACAUCCAAAGACUUGAGGUACUCAGGGCGGAUCUCAUCCAACCCCAAAGCCUUGCCACCGCGGAGCUUUUUAACCACCUCGGUGACUUCAGCCUGGGUGA